Xiphias gladius (swordfish) is the source of this 1626-nucleotide long non-coding RNA. RefSeq lists it as uncharacterized. The transcript has 3 exons. Lineage: Eukaryota; Metazoa; Chordata; Actinopteri; Istiophoriformes; Xiphiidae. The record is from RefSeq and is a predicted model, not a curated record.
AUUAUGCCAUGUCAGUGGGCUAACAUGAACAAUAGCAGGGACUGAAACUGGCACGACAAAACAUAAUGCAGCCAUUAAUAACGUAUAAUUCAUUGCACCUGUGCGUUUCCUGCCAUGACAUGAUAGGUCAAAUUGUUGUGAGUGAAAAAGGGCCUACUGGGUCCAAUCAAGCUUGAAUUACCCGGAGCAGCUAGCAGUUUAAUGCUACAAGAGGAGAUGCAAUUUAACAGGAACCAACUGACGCUGUAUGAGACCUUGCCGAUAUCAUUUGUUGUUGGAUUAAAAGCAUCCAAGCUCAGCUGAAGUGUAUGCUGACGCUGUCUGUCGUCACACGUCUUGAUGACUUCUCAUCUGCUAACCAGCCUCCAUUAUGCAUCUCCAGUUGUUAAAGAAGCAGAAUGCUGUCAAUUUGCACUCAAAAUGCUGGGCAUGUUUUUUAUGGGCCUUGUCUGGCGCAUUUUUAGUUCAUUUAACCACUGGUAGCACAGUAUUAAAUGUCUGAAAAUGCUCUUAUACCGUUUUUUCCAAACAACAAUUGUUUACAUCCUUGUGUUUUCUGUUAUACUGAAUGCCCUCUGGCAUUGCUAUAUAAUGUUUUUUGUAGUGUCACAGCCACAAAUGAGCCUGUAAGCAAAGGUUGAGAUAAUCCUCUUAAUCUGGAGACAUAAUGACUUGUAAAAGCAGUGGCAGUGACGGGGAUAUUGUGCUGUUACCUUGGUGUAGCAUAAAGGCUUAUUUGCAGGUUGGUGUGUGUGUGUGUGUGUGUUUGUGUGUGUGUCCACUUGUGGAAGAAAGUCAAUCUAAUAACAGAUAGCAGCCUUCAGUAAUGUGAGUGUUUCAACACAUGGUGGGGGGAAAAAAAGCGUAGAGGGAGGAUGGAGGAAGCGGAGGACGAAUAGAUGAGAUCUACAGAAAGAUCUGAUACGAUACUAUCUGCAGCACUGCCGUCACCCAUUCACGCUUGGUAACAAUGAGGAGCUUUGUGCCGAAGAUAAAAACCAUAAAACCACCCACUGCACACACACAAAUGCAUAAACUCAGAUGGUCAGUGGGUCAGUGGAGCUGGUGACUGUUUAUCAGGAGGUGAGAAGAACGAAGUGGAGGAAGUGGGAGCAGUUGUGCUUAAAAUGUGGGGUCUUUGCAUGUGUGUGUGAGCUAUUCAUGGUCAGCAAUGGACAAAGUGUAUAUAGAUUUUCUAUUCAUUUUUGAGUCAGAAAAUAAAUCGCAGGAAUUACACUUAAUUGUGUCAACAACAGGAACGACUAAAUUGUAAUUUGUAAGAAACAGUUGCAGGAGAACAGUACUUUUGUGUUGUAAAACACGGAUAUAAGAUUUGAGAAAGGAGCUUUUAUAAAAUGCUACUUUCCACAUCAAACAGCGUGAGAAGAAUAAAAAUGUGAUGGGAAUGAAAUUACUACUUAAUUAGCAUGUCUACAUUCACAAAAUCAUCUGAGUUACACUAAAUAGACAGAUUAAGGUAAUAUUUCAAAUAAAGAGCUUAUAAUGUAUAUGUUUAUAUGAGGCACAAGAAAUGUAUGUGUUUUCACAUUUUUUUUUUAAGGAUUUAAGGUGCCUACAGGUUAAUAGGAAAUAAAGCUUUGAUAUAAAACUAGAAGCACUUUUACU